This 497-nucleotide ribosomal RNA is filed under the name uncultured bacterium. Its description in RNAcentral is "partial 16S ribosomal RNA". It matches the Rfam family "Bacterial small subunit ribosomal RNA", at positions 28 to 507 of the family's 1533-position model. The record is from RNAcentral.
GAUGAACGCUGGCGGCGUGCCUAAUACAUGCCAGUCGAGCGAACAGACGAGGAGCUUGCUCCUCUGACGUUAGCGGCGGACGGGUGAGUAACACGUGGAUAACCUACCUAUAAGACUGGGAUAACUUCGGGAAACCGGAGCUAAUACCGGAUAAUAUAUUGAACCGCAUGGUUCAAUAGUGAAAGACGGUUUUGCUGUCACUUAUAGAUGGAUCCGCGCCGCAUUAGCUAGUUGGUAAGGUAACGGCUUACCAAGGCAACGAUGCGUAGCCGACCUGAGAGGGUGAUCGGCCACACUGGAACUGAGACACGGUCCAGACUCCUACGGGAGGCAGCAGUAGGGAAUCUUCCGCAAUGGGCGAAAGCCUGACGGAGCAACGCCGCGUGAGUGAUGAAGGUCUUCGGAUCGUAAAACUCUGUUAUUAGGGAAGAACAAAUGUGUAAGUAACUAUGCACGUCUUGACGGUACUUAAUCAGAAAGCCACGGCUAACUACGUG